RNAcentral lists this ribosomal RNA (289 nucleotides) under uncultured bacterium. Its description in RNAcentral is "partial 16S ribosomal RNA". It matches the Rfam family "Bacterial small subunit ribosomal RNA", at positions 1034 to 1297 of the family's 1533-position model. The record is from RNAcentral.
ACAGCUGUUGCAUUGUGUUUGUCAGCUCUUGUCGUUGAGAUGAUUGGGUUAAGAUCCUCCCCACGAGGCGCAACCCCUAUCCUCCAUUAGCCACCCAGUUAUAAGCUGGGCACUCUGAAGGAGACUGCCAGGGACUAACACCUGGAGGAAGGCUGGGGAUGACGUCAAAUCAUCAUGCCCCUUAUGAUCUCUGGGUACACACGUGUUACAAUUGGCGUAGAUACAAAGGGAAGCGAGACGCGUGCUGACAGCGUGGAGCGAAUCCUCAAAAAUACUCAGUCGCUCUAGA